Molecule: ribosomal RNA, 162 nt
Filed under: uncultured bacterium
Lineage: Bacteria
Description: partial 16S ribosomal RNA
Rfam family: Bacterial small subunit ribosomal RNA
Source: RNAcentral
GGAAUCUUCCACAAUGGGCGCAAGCCUGAUGGAGCAACACCGCGUGAGUGAAGAAGGGUUUCGGCUCGUAAAGCUCUGUUGUUAAAGAAGAACACGUAUGAGAGUAACUGUUCAUACGUUGACGGUAUUUAACCAGAAAGUCACGGCUAACUACGUGCCUAG